CCACUGUAGUAGAGGACUGGAGGUGGGAACCACUGUAGUAGAGGACUGGAGGUGGGAACCACUGUAGUAGAGGACUGGAGGUGGGAACCACUGUAGUAGAGGACUGGAGGUGGGAACCACUGUAGUAGAGGACUGGAGUUGGGAACCACUGUAGUAGAGGACUGGAGUUGGGAACCACUGUAGUAGAGGACUGGAGGUGGGAACCACUGCAGUAGAGGACUGGAGUUGAGGACCACUGCAGUAGAGGACUGGAGUUGAGGACCACUGUAGUAGAGGACUGGAGUUGAGGACCACUGCAGUAGAGGACUGGAGUUGAGGACCACUGCAGUAGAGGACUGGAGUUGAGGACCACUGUAGUAGAGGACUGGAGUUGAGGACCACUGCAGUAGAGGACUGGAGUUGAGGACCACUGCAGUAGAGGACUGGAGUUGAGGACCACUGUAGUAGAGGACUGGAGGUGGGAACCACUGUAGUAGAGGACUGGAGUUGGGAACCACUGUAGUAGAGGACUGGAGUUGGGAACCACUGUAGUAGAGGACUGGAGUUGGGAACCACUGUAGUAGAGGACUGGAGUUGAGGACCACUGCAGUAGAGGACUGGAGUUGAGGACCACUGCAGUAGAGGACUGGAGUUGAGGACCACUGUAGUAGAGGACUGGAGUUGAGGACCACUGCAGUAGAGGACUGGAGUUGAGGACCACUGUAGUAGAGGACUGGAGUUGAGGACCACUGUAGUAGAGGACUGGAGUUGAGGACCACUGUAGUAGAGGACUGGAGUUGAGGACCACUGUAG
Oncorhynchus keta (chum salmon) is the source of this 792-nucleotide long non-coding RNA. RefSeq lists it as uncharacterized. The record is from RefSeq and is a predicted model, not a curated record. The transcript is spliced from 5 exons. Lineage: Eukaryota; Metazoa; Chordata; Actinopteri; Salmoniformes; Salmonidae.